CUCAUUUGCAAACUCUCUGAGGAUUUUGAUGCAGUGACAGCUGUCACUGUCAAACCCAGCCUCUAAGCUUUUCAGGAAGCAGCAGUUCUAACAUUUUGAUCAAGUCCUGUACAAAUACUUGAUCUUAAAUGAAUAUAUACAGGUAGAAGAUGUCAUGUUACAUGUAGAAGACUCCUUGGUCUCCUUGUUAGCUUACGGAAUGAAUGAAUUGCCACUCUGGAACAUUGAAAUCGCAUUUAAUCUUCAGAGUUCUAAAGCUACUCAAGCUGGAACCACAAGAUUUCACCAACUGCUGUUUAUUCUCAAGACAUAUUUUUUCACUUCUGUACUCUGGGAGAAGUGUCAGUGCAAACAAAUCAUCAGUGAGUAUCGUUGGUGUAUUUGUGUUUUUAUGAAGCUUCUGCUCAGAUCACCUCCGAUGAAUCAAAAUACCAUCAGCCAUCUGAAUAGCACAUGACAUAGGAGCAGCCAGAAAGUUGUGUA
This 483-nucleotide long non-coding RNA is filed under the name Cyanistes caeruleus (blue tit). RNAcentral's name for it is "lncRNA (ENSCCEG00000019557.1)". The record is from RNAcentral. Lineage: Eukaryota; Metazoa; Chordata; Aves; Passeriformes; Paridae.